GAUGAAGAACGCAGCGAAAUGCGAUACGUAAUGUGAAUUGCAGAAUUCAGUGAAUCAUCGAAUCUUUGAACGCACAUUGCGCCCGCUAGUAUUCUGGCGGGCAUGCCUGUCCGAGCGUCAUUUCAACCCAUCAAGCUUAGCGCUUGUGUUGGAGCCCUGCGGCCGCCGCAGCCUCCUAAAAUCAGUGGCGGGCUCGCUAUCACGCUGAGUGCAGUAGUAUUCUUCUCACUCCUGUGGUGUAGCGGGUAACCAGCCGUAAACCCCCCCAUCCAUAAAGGUUGACCUCGGAUCAGGUAGGAAUACCCGCUGAACUUAAGCAUAUCAAUAAGCGGAGGA
RNAcentral lists this unclassified non-coding RNA (336 nucleotides) under soil metagenome. Its description in RNAcentral is "partial contains 5.8S ribosomal RNA, internal transcribed spacer 2, and large subunit ribosomal RNA". The stretch from base 1 to 120 matches the Rfam family "5.8S ribosomal RNA", at positions 35 to 154 of the family's 154-position model. The record is from RNAcentral.